This 440-nucleotide ribosomal RNA is filed under the name uncultured bacterium. RNAcentral's name for it is "partial 16S ribosomal RNA". It matches the Rfam family "Bacterial small subunit ribosomal RNA", at positions 338 to 795 of the family's 1533-position model. The record is from RNAcentral.
CCUACGGGUGGCAGCAGUAGGGAAUUUUGCGCAAUGGGCGAAAGCCUGACGCAGCAACGCCGCGUGAUUGAUUAAGCCCUUCGGGGUGUAAAGAUCUGUCAGUGGGGACGAAACUUGACGGUACCCACAGAGGAAGCACCGGCUAACUCCGUGCCAGCAGCCGCGGUAAUACGGAGGGUGCAAGCGUUGUCCGGAAUCAUUGGGUUUAAGGGGUGCGUAGGCGGUCCGUUAAGUCAGCGGUAAAAUUGCGGGGCUCAACCCCGUCGAGCCGUUGAAACUGGCAGACUUGAGUGGGCGAGAAGUACGCGGAAUGCGAGGUGUAGCGGUGAAAUGCAUAGAUAUCGCGCAGAACUCCGAUUGCGAAGGCAGCGUACCGGCGCCAGACUGACGCUGAGGCACGAAAGCGUGGGGAUCGAACAGGAUUAGAUACCCCUGUAGUC